CCUACGGGAGGCAGCAGUGGGGGAUAUUGCACAAUGGGGGAAACCCUGAUGCAGCGACGCCGCGUGGGCGAAGAAGUAUUUCGGUAUGUAAAGCCCUAUCAGCAGGGAAGAAGAAAUGACGGUACCUGAGGAAGAAGCACCAGCUAAAUACGUGCCAGUAGCCGCGGUAAUACGGAUGGUGCAGGCGUUAUCCGGAAUUACUGGGUGUAAAGGGAGCGGAGGCGGCACGGCAAGCCUGAUGUGAAAGCCCGGGGCCCAACCGCGGGACUGCAUUGGGAACUGCCGGGCUGGAGUGCCGGAGAGGUAGGCGGAAUUCCGAGUGUAGCGGUGAAAUGCGUAGAUAUUAGGAGGAACAGCAGUGGCGAAGGCGGCCUACUGGACGGUGACUGACGCUGAGGCUCGAAAGCGUGGGGAGCAAACAGGAUUAGAUACCCGAGUAGUC
This 442-nucleotide ribosomal RNA is filed under the name uncultured bacterium. RNAcentral's name for it is "partial 16S ribosomal RNA". It matches the Rfam family "Bacterial small subunit ribosomal RNA", at positions 338 to 795 of the family's 1533-position model. The record is from RNAcentral.